RNAcentral lists this ribosomal RNA (783 nucleotides) under uncultured bacterium. RNAcentral describes it as "bacterial SSU rRNA". It matches the Rfam family "Bacterial small subunit ribosomal RNA", at positions 62 to 859 of the family's 1533-position model. The record is from RNAcentral.
UCGAACGAGAAAGGGUAGCAAUACCCGAGUAAAGUGGCGACCGGGUGAGUAACACGUGACUAACCUACCCUAGAGUGGGGAAUAACCUCGGGAAACCGGGGCUAAUACCGCAUAAAGUCCAGAGGCUGAAAUGCCAUUGGACCAAAGGAGUAAUUCGCUCAAGGAGGGGGUCGCGGUUGAUUAGCUAGUUGGUGGGGUAAUGGCCCACCAAGGCGAUGAUCAAUAGCCGGCCUGAGAGGGCGCACGGCCACACUGGAACUGAAACACGGUCCAGACUCCUACGGGAGGCAGCAGUGGGGAAUUUUGCGCAAUGGGGGAAACCCUGACGCAGCAACGCCGCGUGAAGGAUGAAGGUCUUUGGAUUGUAAACUUCUUUCGUCCGGGAAGAUAAUGACGGUACCGGAAUAAGAAGCCCCGGCUAACUUCGUGCCAGCAGCCGCGGUAAUACGAAGGGGGCGAGCGUUGUUCGGAAUUAUUGGGCGUAAAGGGAGCGUAGGCGGUUCGAUAAGUCACUUGUGAAAUCUCUGGGCUCAACCCAGAGUCUGCAAGCGAAACUGUCGGGCUUGAGUAUGGGAGAGGUGAGUGGAAUUCCUGGUGUAGCGGUGAAAUGCGUAGAUAUCAGGAGGAACACCUGUGGCGAAAGCGGCUCACUGGACCAUUACUGACGCUGAGGCUCGAAAGCUAGGGGAGCAAACAGGAUUAGAUACCCUGGUAGUCCUAGCCCUAAACGAUGAUUGCUGGGGUGUGGUGGGUACCCAAUCCCACUGUGCCGAAGCUAACGCG